This is a long non-coding RNA of Carassius carassius (crucian carp), 384 nucleotides long. RefSeq lists it as uncharacterized. The record is from RefSeq and is a predicted model, not a curated record. The transcript is spliced from 4 exons. NCBI's taxonomy places the organism in Eukaryota, Metazoa, Chordata, Actinopteri, Cypriniformes, Cyprinidae.
UGGCUCUGUAGUGGACACCUGUGAGGAAGUGGACAGACAGCUGCUGAUGUCUGAUGCUGGCUGACAAUAAACAGACCUCUCUGGACGUACCCCAUCUUUCGCAGGUAAAUCCUAACAUUGCCCUUCCUGUAACAUGAUGAUCCUGCUGUCCUGGACUGUAUAUGAUGAGCCUACACAUAAUCUCAGAACAGCUGUGGUAAUAAAAGGAGACCCAUUUGGUGAGAGCAGCACUGCAGACUUUCCUGAUGGAGGAGAUCAUGGACCAUUUUCACAAGACUGAUGAUGUGUUUCAGCGGCCAUCAGCCUCGUAAAUCCUCACAAUUUGUUUAUAUUUUGAUUUGUAAAAAAUUAUGUGCAUUAAUAACACUAUACUUUAUAUUAUAU